GGUGCUAAGUUCUUCUCCCUUGCUCGCCAAAUGGUAGCCUGAGCCUUUUGCUCCCAAGGCUUUUUUCCACCUGGAACUCACCAAAACUCUAGUGGGUGGAACCAGGUGGGCGCCAUUGCCAUUAUAAGAGAACAAAGAAGGUGUUCAUGGUGAGUUUCAGCUCCUCUUUUCCUAGAAAAAUAGCAUUGUUUCAGCCAUAUAAUUUGUGUGCUCUGGAGUAACCAGUACAGCAUUUUUAGGACAAGCAUUUGCCCCAUCUCAGCAGUAUUGUCUUCUUUAGACUACAACUCCCAUCAGCCCCAGCUACCAAGGCCAAUAGUCAGGGAUAAUGGGAAUUCUAGUAAAAAAUUAUCCGGAUUGCCCUGGUAGCUGUUUAGGAACUGACAGGACAAUCCUCCUGCCAAUGAAUCUCCACAGUGUCUGUUGAUUCCCCCUCCCCAAAUAUUGUGGCAACCUCUCAAAAGCAGGCACAGUCCUGCUACUGGGAGCAUUUGGGUCAAAAUUAAGGGAGAGAAGAAUAACAGUGACCUCAUUGUGGGAGUUUACUAUAGAUCCCCAAGCCAAACGGAGGACAUAGAUGAUGCCUUCCUGGAACAGAUGGCCAAGCAUGCAAAAGGAAGGGAGAUAGUAGUAAUGGGCGACUUCAAUUACCCGGAUAUUUGUUGGAUGUCAAACUCAGCCAAGAGCAUAAGGUCAAACAGAUUCCUCACUGGCCUUGCAGACAACUUCAUUGUCCAGAAAGUGGGAGAAGCAACAAGAGGAACAGCCAUUUUAGAUCCGGUCCUAACCAAUGUUGAUGACCUGGUUAGUGGGGUAGAAGUGGAAGGAUCAUUAGGCGCGAGUGAUCAUACUCUUCUGAAGUUUACUAUACAGCGGAAAGGAGCAGCCAAGCAUACUAGGACUCAAUUUCUUGACUUUAAGAAAGCCGACUUCAUAAAACUUAGGGAAGUGCUGGGUGAGAUCCCAUGGACAGUAAUACUAAAAGGAAAGGGAGUUCAUGAUGGCUGGGAGUUUAUUAAGAGGGAGAUAGUAAAAGCACAACUUCAGGCAAUACCCAUGAGACAGAAACAUGGAAGGUGCCUAAAGAAGCCAGGGUGGCUAUCUAAAGAACUUUCAACUGAGUUAAGAU
This is a non-coding RNA of Podarcis lilfordi (Lilford's wall lizard), 1129 nucleotides long. NCBI's taxonomy places the organism in Eukaryota, Metazoa, Chordata, Lepidosauria, Squamata, Lacertidae. The record is from the annotation of a GenBank genome assembly.